GGGGAAAAAAUUAAUAAUUUUAUAAAUAAUAAAAAUAAUUUUAAUAUUAAAAUAGGGGGUUUUAGUAUUUAUUUUAGAAAAAAUUAUAAAAUUUAUAGAGAAUUAGUAUUGUAUAAGAAAUUUUAAAUAAUGUUGAAAAUAAAUUUAUUUAAAAGUAAAAUUUAUUUUUUGUAUCUUGUGUAUCAGAGUUUAUUAAAUAAAAAUUUUAGGAAAAAUUAUUUCUCGAAUUUAAAAGAGAUAAUUAAUUAAAAAAGUUAUUGUAGUAUAAAUAUUUUUAAUAAUUAAUUUGAAAUGAAAUGUUAAUCGUUUUUAAAUAUAUCUAGUUUUUUUAGAAAAAAAUUUAAUUUUAUUUUUUUUUUACGAAUUAUUAAUUAAUUAAUAAUUUGUAAAAAAAAAAAUUAUAUUUUAAGGGAUAAGCUUUAAAUUAAAUUUUUAUAAUUAUUAAUUUUAAUUAAAUUAAAAAUUUUAAAAUUUAUAUUGUUUAUAAUUUUUAAUUUAUUAUAAAUUAAUUUUAAUUAAAUUAAAAUUUUUUAAUAAUUUAAUUUUAUAUAAAAAAAUAUUUUUUAUUAAGAUUAUAAUUAGAUAUAAUGAUAAAAUUAGUAUUUAUUUAUAAAAAUUUAUUUUAAUGUAGAAAAAAUAAGUUAAAGGAAUUCGGCAAAAAUUUAUAUUCACUUGUUUAUCAAAAACAUGUCUUUUUGAAAAUAAUUUAAAGUCUAAUCUGCCCACUGAUAAUUUAUUAAAGGGCUGCAGUAUAUUGACUGUACAAAGGUAGCAUAAUCAUUAGUCUCUUAAUUGGUGACUUGUAUGAAAGAUUGGAUGAAAUAUAAACUGUCUCUAAUUUAUUUAAAGAAAUUAAUUUUUUAAUUAAAAAGUUAAAAUAAUUUUAAAAGACGAGAAGACCCUAUAGAGUUUAAUAAAUUUUAAAAUUAAAAUUAUUUAUAAAAAUAAUAAUUAAAAUUUUAAAAUUUAUUUUGUUGGGGUGAUAAAAAAAUUAAAUAAACUUUUUUUUAAUUAGAACAUUAAUAAAUGAGUUUUUGAUCCAAAAAUAUUUUGAUUAUAAGAAAAAAUUACCUUAGGGAUAACAGCGUAAUUUUUUUUUUUAGUUCAAAUAAGAAAAAAAGUUUGCGACCUCGAUGUUGGAUUAAGAUAAAAUUUAUAUGCAAAAGUAUAAAAUUUUGAUCUGUUCGAUCAUUAAAAUCUUACAUGAUCUGAGUUCAAACCGGUGUGAGCCAGGUUGGUUUCUAUCUUUAAUAAAAAAAAAAUAUUUUAGUACGAAAGGAAUAAGUAUUUAAAUUAGAUUUAUAUUUUAGAAUUUUAAUAAAAUAUUUAUAAAAUAAAAAAU
Molecule: ribosomal RNA, 1342 nt
Filed under: Haritalodes derogata
Lineage: Eukaryota; Metazoa; Arthropoda; Insecta; Lepidoptera; Crambidae
Description: 16S ribosomal RNA
Source: RNAcentral